GCGAAACCUUUACACUGCACGCCAGUGCGAUAAGGGGAUCCCAAGUGCGCAGGCAUAGAGCCUGCGCUUUUGUACACCGUAGGGAGGUGUACGAAUAAGGGCUGGGCAAGACCGGUGCCAGCCGCCGCGGUAAUACCGGCAGCCCGAGUGAUGGCCGAUCUUAUUGGGCCUAAAGCGUCCGUAGCUGGCCGCGCAAGUCCAUCGGAAAAUCCACCCGCUCAACGGGUGGGCGUCCGGUGGAAACUGCGUGGCUUGGGACCGGAAGGCGCGACGGGUACGUCCGGGGUAGGAGUGAAAUCCCGUAAUCCUGGACGGACCGCCGAUGGCGAAAGCACGUCGCGAGGACGGAUCCGACAGUGAGGGACGAAAGCCAGGGUCUCGAACCGGAUUAGAUACCCGGGUAGUCCUGGCCGUAAACAAUGUCUGUUAGGUGUGGCUCCCACUACGAGUGGGUGCUGUGCCGUAGGGAAGCCGCUAAACAGACCGCCUGGGAAGUACGUCCGCAAGGAUGAAACUUAAAGGAAUUGGCGGGGGAGCACUACAACCGGAGGAGCCUGCGGUUUAAUUGGAAUC
This 573-nucleotide ribosomal RNA is filed under the name uncultured haloarchaeon. RNAcentral describes it as "bacterial SSU rRNA". It matches the Rfam family "Archaeal small subunit ribosomal RNA", at positions 341 to 913 of the family's 1478-position model. The record is from RNAcentral. Lineage: Archaea; Methanobacteriati; Methanobacteriota; Halobacteria; Halobacteriales; Halobacteriaceae.